This 1386-nucleotide ribosomal RNA is filed under the name metagenome. RNAcentral describes it as "bacterial SSU rRNA". It matches the Rfam family "Bacterial small subunit ribosomal RNA". The record is from RNAcentral.
CGAACGGCAGCGCGGACUUCGGUCUGGCGGCGAGUGGCGAACGGGUGAGUAAUGCAUCGGAACGUACCUUUCAGUGGGGGAUAACGUAGCGAAAGUUACGCUAAUACCGCAUAUUCUGUGAGCAGGAAAGCAGGGGAUCGCAAGACCUUGCGCUGAUGGAGCGGCCGAUGUCAGAUUAGCUAGUUGGUGGGGUAGAGGCUCACCAAGGCGACGAUCUGUAGCGGGUCUUAGAGGAUGAUCCGCCACACUGGAACUGAGACACGGUCCAGACUCCUACGGGAGGCAGCAGUGGGGAAUUUUGGACAAUGGGCGCAAGCCUGAUCCAGCCAUGCCGCGUGACUGAAGAAGGCCUUCGGGUUGUAAGCUCUUUCGGCCGGGAAAAAAUCGCUUGGGUUAAUACCCUGAGUGGAUGAUGGUACCGGAAUAAGAAGCACCGGCUAACUACGUGCCAGCAGCCGCGGUAAUACGUAGGGUGCGAGCGUUAAUCGGAAUUACUGGGCGUAAAGCGUGCGCAGGCGGUUUUGUAAGACAGGCGUGAAAUCCCCGGGCUCAACCUGGGAACUGCGUUUGUGACUGCAAGGCUAGAGUAUGGCAGAGGGGGGUGGAAUUCCACGUGUAGCAGUGAAAUGCGUAGAGAUGUGGAGGAACACCAAUGGCGAAGGCAGCCCCCUGGGCCAAUACUGACGCUCAUGCACGAAAGCGUGGGGAGCAAACAGGAUUAGAUACCCUGGUAGUCCACGCCCUAAACGAUGUCAACUAGGUGUUGGGUGGGUAAAACCAUUUGGUACCGUAGCUAACGCGUGAAGUUGACCGCCUGGGGAGUACGGCCGCAAGGUUAAAACUCAAAGGAAUUGACGGGGACCCGCACAAGCGGUGGAUGAUGUGGAUUAAUUCGAUGCAACGCGAAAAACCUUACCUACCCUUGACAUGCCAGGAACUUGCCAGAGAUGGCUUGGUGCCCGAAAGGGAGCCUGGACACAGGUGCUGCAUGGCUGUCGUCAGCUCGUGUCGUGAGAUGUUGGGUUAAGUCCCGCAACGAGCGCAACCCUUGUCGUUAAUUGCCAUCAUUUAGUUGGGCACUUUAACGAGACUGCCGGUGACAAACCGGAGGAAGGUGGGGAUGACGUCAAGUCCUCAUGGCCCUUAUGGGUAGGGCUUCACACGUCAUACAAUGGUCGGUACAAAGGGUUGCCAAGCCGCGAGGCGGAGCCAAUCCCAGAAAGCCGAUCGUAGUCCGGAUCGCAGGCUGCAACUCGCCUGCGUGAAGUCGGAAUCGCUAGUAAUCGUGGAUCAGCAUGUCACGGUGAAUACGUUCCCGGGUCUUGUACACACCGCCCGUCACACCAUGGGAGCGGGUUCCGCCAGAAGUAGGUAGCCUAACCGCAA